Triticum aestivum (bread wheat) is the source of this 3366-nucleotide RNA transcript. It is a transcript of the gene named xyloglucan endotransglycosylase/hydrolase protein 8, with no coding region annotated. Lineage: Eukaryota; Viridiplantae; Streptophyta; Magnoliopsida; Poales; Poaceae. The record is from RefSeq and is a predicted model, not a curated record. The transcript is spliced from 7 exons.
CCUCGCCUCGUCCCACUCCCACUCCCAUUCUAGCCGCCAGACGAACCCUAGCCCCCUUGCCCAAUGCCCCCGAUCCCCAAAGCCGCCGCACGGCCUCGCUCCUCCUUCCCUCCCGCCGCACCCUUUCCUUGAUCGCAGCUGCCUCCUUCCCACCUCCGCCCGAGCUCCGCCUCCUCCUCCUUGCCAUCGGCGGAAGCCUCAAGCCCCGGCAUCACCGCCACCAGAUCCACCUCGCAACCUCUCUUCCUCCCCUGUCUGACUGCUGCGUGGUCGCGUCGGGCCCAUGCCGGGGCCGCCGCCACCGCUGCAGUCGCCGCCGCUGGAUGGCUCCGUCGGUCCCUCCCGCUCCAGAUCGAAAACUGAGAGAGCGACGGGAGGGAAGAAGGGGAUCGGGGGAGCCGCCGAGGCUGGGCAACUCGCUCCCAGGGAGCUCCCCUGCUUCGGGAGGGAAGGAUGAAAUCGGGGGAGCUCCCUGCAGCCUCUCCCUGACCCACGCCACCGGCCCUAUCUCUCUGCUCACCUCCUCCUCUCCUAUUCCCUGCCGUCAUGGUUCCGGAUCGGGGCUUGGGCCAUCGUCGUGGGGGAGCAGGGACGGCGGGGUCUUCACAGUGGAGGUGGAGCUGUAGGGGAGGGGAGGAUGCCAACGACAAGGGAAAGGAGGAGGCCGAAGAGGACGGCAAUGGGGAGGCCGGCAGGGAAGGAGCAGGGAGAGGGCUUCUGCUUCUUCCAGCGGGCCAUGGCACCCGAGUUCAUCGUCAUCGUGUCCCUUGAGUUGAGCCCCCGUCGCCCCCCACUCCUCUCACUUUCUCGCGACAUCUCGCUGUCGAUCGCCACCCCAUUUCAAAAAUUCAGAGAGAGAUGCUGCGCGGCUCCCUCUGGCGGCUCCUGGCCGUGGCCGUGGCCGUGCCGGCGGCGACGCGGGCGGUGGCCGCCCUGAAGGCCGGUCGGAGCCUGCACCGGGACUUCGACGACGGCCGGGUGGUGGAGCUGGCGCUGGACCGGGAGACGGGGUCCAGGCUGGAGUCCAAGGACCGGUACCUCUUCGGGCGGUUCGAUCUCGACAUCAGGCUCGUCGCCGACGAGUCCGCCGGGACCAUCACUUCCUUCUAUGUAAGUGUACAUGGAUCCGGAGGAGUAUGAACGAAUGUACUAUAUCACUCUUGUCAUUUUGGUGGAUCUCGGGCUGCUUCCAUGAUCUGGCUUUACUGUUUCGUUUCCCCACCAGGCACGUCAGGUCCCCCUCAAAACAGCCUAUUGUUCCAUUUUCAGCAGGAGCAACAGCAGCAGCCAGCAACUGAAUUAAUUUUGUAGGUGGUGUGAUCGGCCAGCAUGUGGCGCUCCCUUUUCAGCUGUGGUCCAGUUGUAGUACUGCGUAUUUAUUUAUCGGACCCAACCCGACCCCAAGGACCAUGGCUGAACGCAGCCUGGGUGUGAUGGUUUUUCAGGCUUUUGGUCUCUGUCUAUCUCUUCUUGUCGUCAUCAAAGGCUGAAGGGUGGUACGUAGUACAUGCAGAUGGGAAUGUGAGUGUUGCGGUUGGACAGGGGAUGAGGAGAACGAGUCUCCCUUGCGGAUUAGUGGUUGGUGCAUGAUGCUGGAUUGGUUGGCUGGUUGGGCUUGGUCCUUGGUGUGUUAGUUGAUUAAUCAUAGGCUGGUGGUUUGAGGUUGUCUGCAUCUGAUUGUUCAGUCAGUUGUUGAAUUUAUAGUUGCCAGGCAUAUGGGUAAGAUUCUGUGCACAUUUUUUUCAUGUAUUUUGUUGAGAGGAAGUAUCCUUUAGAAAACAGAGAGGUUGAAAAAAGACAUUCUUUUAAGAAGUGAAGAUACGGCUGCUUUUAGUAAGCUUUAGAUAUGGCUGCUUUUAGUAAGCUUUUUAUCGGUUAUACUGAACUGUGUUCUAAAACUAUUGUCACAAUCCUGAAUUCUGAUCCUUCAUUCCUCUCGGACCAUGUCUAAAAUAAACCAAACCUCUGUGUUUACAUUUUUUGGUAAAAAUAAUUUCUUGCCUAUUGCAAUUAGGUAUAGAUUAAAACUUUUCAGUGCGAGAGUUCAGGCAUCACUAUGGUGCCAUACUGACCAAUGCAACAAGAUGUAUACUUCCAGUUCGGGGAACAUGCAUUUUGUAGGGAGUACAGUAUUGCUUGCACAUAUUCAGACUUGCCGCUGGUAGAACUGAUAUAUUAGUAGGUCACUAGCCCAAAAUAUAGUUAUAAUGAUGAACCUUUCAGCUUAAUGUUUAUGUCUUGCAGAUCAUUAUUUGAAUAUUUUCUUUUGUAUAUGUAGACACAAAAACAAAAUGUAUAGGUUAGUUUGAUGUGUUACAGGAGGGAAGCAGCGGAUGCGAGCCAGGAGGCGGAUCGGCUCGACCCAGCCAUGGAGCUGCCGCUGCGGACUCCCUGCCGGCCUCCUUCGUCUUCAUGUGGAUUUGCAUGGCAAGUGAUGUUGCGUUGCCAAUGACACAUCUAGAAUUGCUGUUCGUGACUCCUGUAGAUGUUCCUGAAUUUUUCUUUGUAGUGGUUGGGUGCUGCCAUAAAACCUGUAACAGCAGCAAGAUGCAGUUCUCGGCAAAUCGCUUUUAGAUCUGAGAAAGAAGAUGAACAGGAGAAUCCAAUAGAAGAAUUUGGUGAAGAACAAGCAUACAGGAAAAGAAUACAAUCAUAAGGCUGAUGCUGCUUAUCAACAUCCUUGUACACAAUACCCCAGAAGGAUUUGUAGGUAGCCUUUUCGAAGUGAAUUUUACAUAUCUUUGCCAAGCAAGAGGUUUGACAAGAUCUCUAUCACCCAUGGAAACACCACCAGAAGUAAGGAUUAUAUCAGCAUCAGAACAUAGAGCUGCAUCCAUAUGCUCCACAAGACUUCCUUCGGGUUGCGGAUGGAGGAGUACGUUAUUUCGACGGUCCUCUAUUUUACUGUUGCGUGUGCCUUCAGGUCCAUCAGUCUGUUAUUGCCGUUAUCUUCUUGAGAGUACUUGAGAAGGCGUGGCUGGGAAUGUGGGGACACGCCAUGGUAGAGGCGCGUGGUCGGCAAGAGGAGUCAGGGAGGCAUGAAGGUGGACAUGUGGAUGUUAUCGUGGCAUUGACACAUUUCGCUCCAUGGAUGCUACAUACCAGGGAUUCAUUGGAAGCCACACAGGGCACCCGAGAAGGAGAGGAGAAUGCGCUGAAGAGAGGAAAUGAUAAGUUUCAUUGUUUUGUUUUAAGAGCAAGGGAGUUGAUAUGUAGUCCCCUGGCUUAUUUGUAUUCUACUAUGUGUAUGGCCAAAGAAAUCAUGAUUUUAUACACACAUAUAUUUUUAAACAAACCUAUGUAUUUUUUGCUCAAACAGUCACCCGGAAGUGCACAUAUUUUCAAUGCGUAAUGGGUCUUUGUGAA